CGGAUGUGUCAGCCGCCGCGGUAAUACGUAGGUCCCGAACGUUGCGCGAAAUUACUGGGCGUAAAGGGUCCGUAGGCGGUCUGGUAAGUGGAAGGUGAAAUCCUACGGCUCAGCCGUAGAAUUGCCUUCCAAACUGCUGGACUUGAGGCAGGGAGAGGUCGGCGGAAUUCCCGGUGUAGCGGUGAAAUGCGUAGAGAUCGGGAGGAACACCAGUGGCGAAGGCGGCCGACUGGAACUGUCCUGACGCUGAGGGACGAAAGCUAGGGGUUGCAAACCGGAUUAGAUUCCCGGGUAGUCCUACCCGUAACCUUUGAAUGCUAGAUGUGGUCUACGAAAGUAGUCCCUACCGCAAGCUAUACGCUCUAAGCAAUCAUCAGGUGGAUUACCCAUGUCC
RNAcentral lists this ribosomal RNA (394 nucleotides) under uncultured Sulfurihydrogenibium sp. RNAcentral's name for it is "bacterial SSU rRNA". It matches the Rfam family "Bacterial small subunit ribosomal RNA", at positions 494 to 891 of the family's 1533-position model. The record is from RNAcentral. Lineage: Bacteria; Pseudomonadati; Aquificota; Aquificia; Aquificales; Hydrogenothermaceae.